This is a long non-coding RNA of Dendrobium catenatum, 777 nucleotides long. RefSeq lists it as uncharacterized. The transcript has 3 exons. Lineage: Eukaryota; Viridiplantae; Streptophyta; Magnoliopsida; Asparagales; Orchidaceae. The record is from RefSeq and is a predicted model, not a curated record.
CGAAUUCAAACUUGCAGAACCAAAAUAAGAAGAUAGAGAGAAGUCGACGUAGCUUUGCUGCAGGGUUAAAACUCCAAACUAUGGUUUCUCCUUCGGUUAACUUUCUCCGCGCGGAAACGCAUAAAUACCUACCAUUGCCUCUCCUCUCUCUCUCUUCCUGUCUCUCUCAAAUGUAUCUUCUCCAAUUUGCAAUGAUGGAGGAAAAGGCGAUUGAACCCUAUUGGCCUCGUUUCCGAUCCAAAUCUGUGGUGUUGACGCACGCCGCUGCUGAUAUGGAAUCCGAUUCCGGCGAUUCUGCCUUUGUGAUUAGCUUCGGAUCGUAUGUUAUCUAUCAAAUGGUAUUAUAUGCGCAGCGGUGUAUGGAUGAGAAUGAUAUGCCAACAAUUUUCAACAAUAUGUUUUUUUCACGCUAAAUUAAGCUCAGAAGGCUCAUAGUUGGGAGAAUGUGUUGGCUACAACUUUGUCAUGUCUACACUUGAAAUCUUCCUAACGAAGCACAUACUGUCCAUAAAUCAAAAUCUAUGGCGCAUUGCGAGAGAAUAAAGUUCCCAGAAAAGCUAUGGCUGAAGUUACCGUUAGUCAGCCCCCAUUCAUGUUCUCUACUUACAAUGGGCUCACUUUUUGCUGCAUCAAAAACAAAAUAUAGCCGAUAGUUUUGUAAACUUUUCACUGAGAUUUUACCAUUUCUUCAUAGAUGCUUCCAUUAGAUUUGGCACUCUUGAGUGUCUUUACUCUCUUUUCCAAGUUUUGGUGAAGCCAUGUAGCACUUUAUACAAA